This is a long non-coding RNA of Epinephelus fuscoguttatus (brown-marbled grouper), 603 nucleotides long. RefSeq lists it as uncharacterized. The transcript is spliced from 5 exons. The record is from RefSeq and is a predicted model, not a curated record. NCBI's taxonomy places the organism in Eukaryota, Metazoa, Chordata, Actinopteri, Perciformes, Serranidae.
GGGGCUUCUGAAGAGAUGGAGAGGAGAAAAGAGACCACCUCUCCUUGGAGUAAAAACUCUCUGUGAAGGCUGCUGACCAAGGGAACAUACACCUGCAGGAUCAGCUCCUCACCUGUUGCAGCCUGAUCUGUGGUGGGUCUUUGACCUGGUUUUAGACCUGCGCUCCUGACGCUCCUGCCUGUAUUUGGAGAUGAGGUGUUGAGAGGAGGCUCCGAGAGGCUGUGGGUGUCUGAGUCUCCGGGUGCAUUAGAGGAAGACGAGACCUCCACAGCCAGACUCACAGAAUCACCCUGAUCACAUUCACCCACCGGGUUCGGGACGCUAACAGGGAUGCUAUGACUGCAACAACAACAAGUGAGUUCACCUUGCUUGGAGGAGAACUGACAGGAGCUCUGGAUAUGGACCCCCAGUCAGCAGCCACAGAACCCAAAAUCCAGCCAGUACACUUCGCAACUCCAGGGACCAGACAGCCCCAACUGCUCACAGAUCAUCAAACUUUCUGUUGCUGCUGUUACACAGGUGAUGCGCCAGUGCUGGAGAAGUCUGUUUGUCCUGGUCUUUGAAGACAUAAGGCUUCUCUGAUGGCUGGACCGUAUCCUCAAG